GAUGAACGCUGGCGGCGUGCCUAAUACAUGCAAGUCGAGCGGACCAAAGAGAGCUUGCUCUCUGAGGUUAGCGGCGGACGGGUGAGUAACACGUGGGUAACCUGCCUGUAAGACGGGGAUAACUUCGGGAAACCGAAGCUAAUACCGGAUGAUAAAGAGAAACGCCUGUUUCUCUUUUGAAAGUCGGCCUUGUGCUGACGCUUACAGAUGGGCCCGCGGCUCAUUAGCUAGUUGGUGAGGUAACGGCUCACCAAGGCGACGGUGCGUAGCCGACCGGAGGAGGUGAUGGGCCACACUGGGACUGAGACACGGCCCAGACUCCUACGGGAGGCAACAGUAGGGAAUCUUCGGCAAUGGACGAAAGUCUGACCGAGCAACGCCGCGUGAGCGAUGAAGGCCUUCGGGUCGUAAAGCUCUGUUGUCAGAGAAGAACAAGUACCGGAGUAACUGCCGGUACCUUGACGGUACCUGACCAGAAAGCCACGGCUAACUACGUGCCAGCCGCCGCGGUAA
RNAcentral lists this ribosomal RNA (513 nucleotides) under uncultured bacterium. RNAcentral's name for it is "partial 16S ribosomal RNA". It matches the Rfam family "Bacterial small subunit ribosomal RNA", at positions 28 to 523 of the family's 1533-position model. The record is from RNAcentral.